Molecule: ribosomal RNA, 670 nt
Filed under: Lactiplantibacillus plantarum
Lineage: Bacteria; Bacillati; Bacillota; Bacilli; Lactobacillales; Lactobacillaceae
Description: bacterial SSU rRNA
Rfam family: Bacterial small subunit ribosomal RNA
Source: RNAcentral
AAUGAAUACUAAGGGUUGGAGGGUUUGCGCCCUUCAAUGCUGCAGCUAACGCAUUAAGCAUUCCGCCUGGGGAGUACGGCCGCAAGGCUGAAACUCAAAGGAAUUGACGGGGGCCCGCACAAGCGGUGGAGCAUGUGGUUUAAUUUAAGCUUACGCGAAGAACCUUACCAGGUCUUGACAUACUAUGCAAAUCUAAGAGAUUAGACGUUCCCUUCGGGGACAUGGAUACAGGUGGUGCAUGGUUGUCGUCAGCUCGUGUCGUGAGAUGUUGGGUUAAGUCCCGCAACGAGCGCAACCCUUAUUAUCAGUUGCCAGCAUUAAGUUGGGCACUCUGGUGAGACUGCCGGUGACAAACCGGAGGAAGGUGGGGAUGACGUCAAAUCAUCAUGCCCCUUAUGACCUGGGCUACACACGUGCUACAAUGGAUGGUACAACGAGUUGCGAAGUCGCGAGGCUAAGCUAAUCUCUUAAAGCCAUUCUCAGUUCGGAUUGUAGGCUGCAACUCGCCUACAUGAAGUCGGAAUCGCUAGUAAUCGCGGAUCAGCAUGCCGCGGUGAAUACGUUCCCGGGCCUUGUACACACCGCCCGUCACACCAUGAGAGUUUGUAACACCCAAAGUCGGUGGGGUAACCUUUUAGGAACCAGCCGCCUAAGGUGGGACAGAUGAUUA